RNAcentral lists this unclassified non-coding RNA (306 nucleotides) under plant metagenome. RNAcentral's name for it is "partial contains 5.8S ribosomal RNA, internal transcribed spacer 2, and large subunit ribosomal RNA". The stretch from base 1 to 104 matches the Rfam family "5.8S ribosomal RNA", at positions 51 to 154 of the family's 154-position model. The record is from RNAcentral.
AAAUGCGAUAAGUAGUGUGAAUUGCAGAAUUCAGUGAAUCAUCGAAUCUUUGAACGCACAUUGCGCCCCUCGGCAUUCCGUGGGGCAUGCCUGUUCGAGCGUCAUCUACACCCUCAAGCUCUGCUUGGUGUUGGGCGUCUGUCCCGCCUCCGCGCGCGGACUCGCUCCAAAUGCAUUGGCAGCGGUUCCUUGCCCCCCUCUUUGCGCAGCACAUUGCCAUUCGAGGCGGCGGCGGCCCGCGUCCAACAAGCUCAACCCCCCCGUCUUUGACCUCGGAUCAGGUAGGGAUACCCGCUGAACUUAAGC